CACGCCGGUCCCGCCUUCGGUCCCACAAUUUCCUCCCUACUGAAUUCUUCAGAGGAACUCAGUUAAGCCUCCUUAUUUGCAUAAAGUUAAUACUUGUUAUUCUGGGGUUUUUCUUUUUUUUUUUCUUGAGACUAAGUCUCGCUCUAUCACUCAGGCUGGAGAGCAGUGAUUCGAUCUCGGCUGACUACAGUCUCUACCUCCCGGGCUGAAACGAUCCUCCCACCUCAGCCUCCCUUCCCCGACUAACACCACCACACCUGUUUUGCAAAGACGGGGAUUAGCUGCCCAGGCUGGUGUCGAACUCCUUAGCUCAAGCGAUCUUCCCACCUCAGCUUCCCAAAGUGCUGGGAUUACAGGCGUGAGCCACCGUGCCCGGCACUUUAAACCUUGGAAAUAGGUCUCGGUUUUUGGAAAACUGAGUUGUGGGAGGAGGAAAAAGGACAGAGGCAAGCAAUAGUGAAUAAGAAAGUACCGCUUCUUCAGAGUGAAUUGUUUAUUGAAUAAUAAGCUGAGAAAAGAGGUGGUAAAGAGAGGAAAAAUAGGGCUGAACAUAGACGCUCACGCCUGUUAUCCCAGCACUUCGGGAGGCCGAGGCGGGCAGAUCACGAGGU
RNAcentral lists this long non-coding RNA (611 nucleotides) under Pan troglodytes (chimpanzee). RNAcentral's name for it is "long non-coding RNA NONPTRT005404". Lineage: Eukaryota; Metazoa; Chordata; Mammalia; Primates; Hominidae. The record is from RNAcentral.